UACGGGGGGGGCAAGCGUUGUUCGGAAUUACUGGGCGUAAAGGGCUCGUAGGCGGCCAACUAAGUCAGACGUGAAAUCCCUCGGCUUAACCGGGGAACUGCAUCUGAUACUGGAUGGCUUGAGUUCGGGAGAGGGAUGCGGAAUUCCAGGUGUAGCGGUGAAAUGCGUAGAUAUCAGGAAGAACACCCGUGGCUAAGGCGGCUCUCUAGUACGGUACUGACGCUGAGACGCGAAAGCGUGGGGAGCGAACAGG
RNAcentral lists this ribosomal RNA (253 nucleotides) under uncultured bacterium. RNAcentral's name for it is "partial 16S ribosomal RNA". It matches the Rfam family "Bacterial small subunit ribosomal RNA", at positions 524 to 776 of the family's 1533-position model. The record is from RNAcentral.